This 2785-nucleotide long non-coding RNA is filed under the name Sus scrofa (pig). RNAcentral's name for it is "lncRNA (ENSSSCG00025058250.1)". Lineage: Eukaryota; Metazoa; Chordata; Mammalia; Artiodactyla; Suidae. The record is from RNAcentral.
ACAUGAAAGUCUGUGUGUGCCUUUUAAGAAUGGGGACUCCAUUUCCCCCAGUCCUGUGGAGCUCCUGCACACCAGCCCCACCAGCCUUCAAUGCCAGGUGCUCCGGGGGCUCUUUCUCCCAGUGCCAGAUCCCCACACAUGGGCGUUUGAUGUGAGGCUCAGAACUCUCACUCCUGUAGUGGCUCCCUGCUUUUGGCUGCUGCUGAGUCAAGACAGGAAUAUGUCUACAGGAUUGGGACUGGAUUUUCCUGGGGUGAACCAGUGUUGUCAAAAUCAAAGGGUAACUUUGAAUGAAAAUUACACAAACCUCAUUGUGAUCUUUCGUGGAUACCCAGCUACACAAAAAAGCAAAGGUUAAAGCUAGCCAAGUUUUUCUCUUUCUAAACUAUCACUCAAUAAACAACCCCUCCAUGGUUUGCAGCUUCCCUUGUGCACACAGACCACCUGGGUCGUACAUUCAGGACAGCUUUGUGUGGAACUGCAGGAAUUACUCUGAAGUCUUCUAAUACCUUUUAAUCCAUGAUCUAUGAAUGCAUCCAAGGUGACAGAAGUGCAAUGAAUAACACUGGAAGAUCCUCCAAACCCACCCCCACCAGGUCCACCAAAGAUCCCAAAGCACCACCACCAUUGAUGCGGCACCAUCACCAUAGGUGGAGCACCACCACCAUUAACGGGGCACUGACCACCACCAUUGAUGGAGCACCCACCGCAUGCUGGUCCUCAUAACAACCCGCCCACAGCACUGGAACCUGAGGUUGGCACAGGUUCAAAAGAUAACAUGUGUAAAAUUACUCUGCAAGAAAGCAGAGCAGGAUUUGAACUCAGGUGCAUCCGAAGUCCCUUUAUCUACCACUCUACAUGUCUCACCAGAAUGAGAAGAACUGAAAGCUCCAGAAACACAUGCCAGGGGAGCGUUUCCCUCUGAGCCAUCCAGGCCUCAGAUCCCCAAACUGAAGCAUGUAUGACUUUUAAAAAUUGAUCUGUUUGGAAAAGCAAUGCCCUUUUGAAAAGCAGCCACAAUCAAAGCCCACUGGAAAGGUCCAGCAUUACUCAAGACUGAAAUAUAUUUUGACCCAUUCACUCCACCUGGAGCCACCAGGGCUCUUCAAGGUACAGUACAUUCCAUCUCUGAAGAUAUUGGCAUGGUACUAAGAAGUUCUAAGCAGAAGAAUGACAUGAGAUUCACCUGUCGACUAGGUAUCUCUUGAGGCUGCAUGAUGUGUAUUUGAAGGGCACCAGAUGGGGAGGGGGUGGGGCGCAUGCUGGAGGCCAAUGCAGGAAUCAAGCUCCAGGCUAAUGGUGCCAUUAACCUUUAAACAGCAGGAAAGCACAAACAGCAGAAAAGAGAAAUUCAGAAAUAUAUGAAAAUAACCAAGUGUUUACCACAGAUUAGAGGGCCAAGGGACAGGUAGUAAUAAUGGGAAAAAUAAGUCUAAACUAAUUUAAAUGUAUGCCACUGUUUUGAAGAGCAAUGCAAAAAGCCCCACCUAAAUGCAAAUUUAAACCCCAGAUGGCCAAAACCCUCUCCCCUAAAAUAAUCUUUAACUGCUAAAAUUUCUUCUAACACUCCAAUUCAAUUAUUUUUAACAAUGUAGUUAUUUUGAGUUUUACUGUGAAUUAGGCUCAUGCUGAAUAUUAAUACCCAUGAUUUAUAAACUACAAAUUUAUCCUUUAUACUUCCCCUAAUUAUAAUCUUGCCAUUUUCAGAAUUAUGCUCCUUUUGGAAGUUUUACAUUUGAAAAUUAUGCUCAGUUAAUGUACAAAAGGAUAAGAGAGACCAUCCUAAGCAAUGACAGCCUUUAUAUCAACUAGAAGAAAAAUGCCUUUCUUCAGUUGUCAACUUGCAGAAAAAAAUUUCCCAUUGCAUUUGUUUUCUUAAUGACAAUGGGAAAAUCAUAGUUUGUAACACAGAGCUGCACUGUAAGAACAGCGUGGAUUUAUAACUUCAAUGAUCCUGAGCACAGAUGAGUUAAUGGUUUGAGGGCCAUGGAAACAGCAUUAGCCAAACUCAAACAUGAAGUAUGAAAGUGACAGAAUUUAAGAAGACCUCAUUGGCCCUCAGAGCCCAAUUUUACACUCUAUCUACCUGGUAGUUUCUAAGUCAAGUUCUGAAAAUAAGGGGGAAAUUUUUUUUCAACAGAAAAAAUAGCUUCAAACUUAGCAUAAUUUUAAGAAUUUUUUACCUUCCCAUAGUCUUGAACAAUCAACUGGCUCACAAAUUCCAGAGGCGUUCAGAACUUUCUACAUAAGCACACAGUUCAAUACUGAAAACUGUUCAGUACAUUUAAAAUGUUCUUUACACCAAGAGAAUUAGCUUCCUUCCAAUUUGGAACUUAAGGCUAUUGCCUUCUGCAUGGUCAUAAAUGCACAGUUUGUGUUUAACUGGAGUGUAAGUUCUUGUACAACAUAAACUCUGCCCAUUCUGUGUGCACCCACAAUUAUGUGAAGAGUGAGGAAGCACAGAUUUAGGAUCAAUCGGUUCCAAAUCACAAGUUUCCAAUGCCACGGCUCUUCACAGACAUUUGUUACACGCUGUCCAUGCGGCAGAUUUCAAACAGACUUUGAAAAAAUGAAGUUUGAAGAGCUAGAUCCAAUUUGUAUUUCCUCCUAUCUACUUCUAUAAGAAGCCCAAACACCUGGCUAAUGUCAUAAUGUGUUCUCCAGGCAGACAAAAUAAGUCCAAUGACCUGGAGUUUGUAUGCCAUAGUCAGAGACAAAUUAAAAAAACUUGGAAUUCGCAAAAGGAAAGUAAUUAGAAAUCAAAAUAAAGGAUCCACAUGAUAUC